GCUGUCGUCAGCUCGUGUUGUGAAAUGUUGGGUUAAGUCCCGCAACGAGCGCAACCCUUAUCCUUUGUUGCCAGCGAUUAGGUCGGGAACUCAAAGGAGACUGCCAGUGAUAAACUGGAGGAAGGUGGGGAUGACGUCAAGUCAUCAUGGCCCUUACGACCAGGGCUACACACGUGCUACAAUGGCGCAUACAAAGAGAAGCGACCUCGCGAGAGCAAGCGGACCUCAUAAAGUGCGUCGUAGUCCGGAUUGGAGUCUGCAACUCGACUCCAUGAAGUCGGAAUCGCUAGUAAUCGUGGAUCAGAAUGCCACGGUGAAUACGUUCCCGGGCCUUGUACACA
RNAcentral lists this ribosomal RNA (341 nucleotides) under Salmonella enterica. RNAcentral describes it as "bacterial SSU rRNA". It matches the Rfam family "Bacterial small subunit ribosomal RNA", at positions 1048 to 1389 of the family's 1533-position model. The record is from RNAcentral. Lineage: Bacteria; Pseudomonadati; Pseudomonadota; Gammaproteobacteria; Enterobacterales; Enterobacteriaceae.